GUCCAUACCCCUCCACCUCUCCCGUGCGCCGCCGCCAAUCUUCCUACCUCCCACAUCGUUCCGUCAACCUCCGAGCCUCACAUCGGCCAGAUCCGUCCGCAACAACCUCUUCUUCUAUCUCCCCUCGUUCGUGCCGGUCGGAUCUCGCGACCUCAAGAUGCCCCAGGUUGCGCCUGACGCCGACGGCUUCAUCAGGCUCGCCGAGUUCGUGGCGCUGAACGCUACCGUUGACGGGGACGACGCCGCCGUCGUGGAGGACCUGCGGCUCGCCUUUGGGUCCUUAGACGUCGACGGCAGCGGUGCCAUGUCCUCCACCGAGCUUGCACACGUCCUCCACUGCCUCGGGUAGAAGGCCACCGGCAUGCAGUGCCGCCGCAUGGUUGAGGGUAUCACCAAGAACUGCGCCGGACUCAUACGGACUCAUAUCCUUGAUCCUUCGAGGACUUCAUGGUCAUAGUGGCCUGAUGCUGCACCGUUUUCGCCAGAUCUGAGGCUGCAGUGAGGGGUUCAGCAAGUGAAGCACCACAACGUCAAGCAGAGUAGCAGACAUCCGUGGGGAAUUUCCAUGAAAGGUUUAAUUCAGGCAUCAGGGCAAUUGUUAGUUCAACGAUUGUUAAUUCUGCACAUGUAUAUAUGAGCAGCGACACCAUCUCUGCACUCCUGUAGAAUCAGGUUCGGUUCAGGGCCUUUAUUGUGCAGCUAGAAAUCCACAGUAUAUCCAUCUUUUAUUUCAGCAAAGGUUCUUUGGGGAUUUGUGGCUAGUUGUAGUUGUAUUCUAUCAAUGAAAUCUUAGUACUUCCCCAGAGAAAUUAUCUGCUAGCAUAUGAGCUUAGUUGGCAUUUAACAAGUUUACACGAUCAUCUCCAAAAAAAAAUGUAGUAAACACAUAUUCUGAACAUUGGGACUGCAGCUUUGCUUUUCAUUGCUAUGUAUGUCUAUGCUUGCUUGCUUUCAAAUCUAACGGAAGCCAAUUAUUGUUGGACAAAUAAUCACUAAAUUUAAGCUUUUUAUUCAAAACUCAUCAACACAUAUUCAGAGAAGUGUAUGUAGUUCAGUAUCACAAAUUAGCUACCCUUGUGGACCUUCAUAUGAAGGCCAAACAGCAAUCGAUGUUGCUACUUCGUACAUGCAAAUUUAGUUUACCCUACCGUUGCUUGGUUUGCUACUGAUGUGGCUAAAAAAGAUGAGUAAUUUGUCAAGAUAUUGUUGAAGGCUAUUGUUUACAUUGCCAAGUUCAGUAAUUUGCUAAUUGUUCUAGAAUCACCACCUUCCUGUUUCCGACUCUGGUAUAAGCUAUAUUGUCAACAAUUCAACAUAAGUGGUCUUUGUGUUGUUAUAUUAGGAAAAUGCUAGGAAUAGGGAAAACAAUGGUAUACGAUGCAUAUAUUUAUAAUAUUAUAAUUUAUGAAAACAAUGUCAUGUUACAGCAUGAGUUUUAGUCUGUAUGAUCAUGUAUGUUAGCUACUUAGGUAUAAAGCUAUUCAUCAGGAGAUGGUUUAAUUCUUACAGCAACAAGUUUUUCCACUGAUUCGUCCUCGUUGGUUUGCAGGGCCAAAAUUUUGGGAAGAUACAUUUAUUUUUGAAGUCAAAAUGGAAAUAGUUUGUGCAAGGAGCAGGCAUAAGCUUCUUUACUCAUUGCUUAAUCCGGAAAAAGUGCAUUCAGCUAUUUCAUGAGUGCCAUCUAGUAGAGAUGGCUUAUCAGUAUUGAAAAUGAACAUGCAAUCCCAUGCCUUCUCAACGCUAUCUGUUAUGUUUCAGGUUGUGCAUCCGCUGCUUAGUUCAACUUGCCUCCACCACACCUCCCAGACCAUUCUCUCGUGCCCUCUCUUGGAUUCUCUCUCAGAUCCAUGCAAAUACAAAAUACUAGAAGCUGCCUUGAUUUAUUCAUUCCUUCACUUCAUAAACCAUAUCAUUCCUCCAACGUUUCUUCCAUGUUGGCCUAUUGAAACUAGUAUCCCACUACAUAAUCUGAUACCUUGUUGUCUUGUAAAGGCUGGGCAAUGAAAUUUUGUAUUGUCUGAAUUGUACACUAACAGAUUAACUGUUGUAAAGUCAUGGUUCAAAUUUCUUGAUGCUGUUGGGUUCUGUUAUCUGAAUAUUAUGUGUUGAACAUGAUCCUACUUGGUUUGUCCUGCUUUUAAAUUGCGUGUUCUGAACCAUCUGAAACUAACAAUGCUAGUUUGUACUAAGGUUUUGUGUUUGAUUUAGAAGCCAGGUAAUGAAAACUGUGUAUCCUCUAAAAAAGUACUGUAUGUUCCGUGUUCUAAAGCCUGUGUGAUUGAUAGUACAGUUAAUUAAAUUGUUGGUUUUCCUACCAUGAUUUGGCACUGACCUAAUACUUACUGUUUGUGUUUAUUUCAGAGAUGUCUGUUUUCCCUGGUUUCAGAAGAAAAAAACCGCACAAGUUCCAGUGCCUGACACUAAGAUGAAGAUCAGCUGCGCCUGUCUAGACACAAUAAGUUGAGACACAAGUGCAUCGUGAGCUGGUGGUGCGCAUGGAACAACACCGUUAGGUCCUCCUGGCAAUACAACGACUGUUGCAACAGGAGGCCUUGGAGCGAUGGGUUCAGCAGAUUUUGCAAGAAAUGCAUCUUUUUUUGUUGCUGAUUCUGUGUUAAAUCCGAUGAAGUUGUAAAGUAAUGAAUGCUCCUUGCACACAUGCUGUUGUUUAACUGUAAAAAAAAGUGUUUCUAUGUACAUCCUGCU
Molecule: long non-coding RNA, 2706 nt
Organism: Lolium perenne
Lineage: Eukaryota; Viridiplantae; Streptophyta; Magnoliopsida; Poales; Poaceae
Source: RefSeq, a predicted model, not a curated record